RNAcentral lists this long non-coding RNA (392 nucleotides) under Vigna radiata. RNAcentral's name for it is "long non-coding RNA (VRAD_LNC007980)". Lineage: Eukaryota; Viridiplantae; Streptophyta; Magnoliopsida; Fabales; Fabaceae. The record is from RNAcentral.
CCAGCCCACCGACAUACCAUAACCUUUAAUAAUUUACAGUUAAUCUCCACAGCCUUACGUAGCUCUAAACACCAACGAAAUGGUGUCAUCACAAUUCGUUCUACAUGCACAUGUCUCAGUAAGCCAUUCAUUUCAACAAUGACUGAUGAAUCCAUAGAGAUUCGAACCCGCCAGUACAAAACAUUAAAAAAAAAUUAUUACUUACCAAAAAAAAAACCAACUAUAUAUAAUACCAAAACUUUGACUUACCUUUGGAUUUCUGGACGCCAUUGCAACUGCACAUUUUUCAUUCAAAUAAAACAAUGGUGGAUUAGGGUUCACAAAACAAAAAAAAGAAUAAAUAAAAUAAAAAUAAAGCACGGCUCGAGAAGCCACACAAUGCGAUAUAGAGU